This 450-nucleotide ribosomal RNA is filed under the name uncultured bacterium. Its description in RNAcentral is "partial 16S ribosomal RNA". It matches the Rfam family "Bacterial small subunit ribosomal RNA", at positions 338 to 795 of the family's 1533-position model. The record is from RNAcentral.
CCUACGGGUGGCUGCAGUGGGGAAUAUUGGACAAUGGGCGAAAGCCUGAUCCAGCAAUGCCGCGUGUGUGAUGAAGGCCUGCGGGUUGUAAAGCACUUUCGGUGGGGAAGAAAUACGCAAAGUUAAUACCUUUGCGGGUUGACGUUACCCACAGAAGAAGCACCGGCUAACUCUGUGCCAGCAGCCGCGGUAAUACAGAGGGUGCAAGCGUUAAUCGGAGUUACUGGGCGUAGGAUACGCGUGUGCGGUGGGAAAUACCUGGGCUUAACCUGGGAAUUGCAAUCGAUACUGGGUAUCUAGAGUAUGGGAGAGGAAAGUGGAAUUCCCGGUGUAGCGGUAAAAUGCGUAGAUAUCGGGAAGAACACCAGCGCGAAGGCGACUUUCUGGACCAAUACUGACGCUGAGGCGCGAAAGCAUGGGGAGCAAACAGGAUUAGAUACCCCAGUAGUC